This 72-nucleotide transfer RNA is filed under the name Cricetulus griseus (Chinese hamster). It matches the Rfam family "tRNA". Rfam says of the family: Transfer RNA (tRNA) molecules are approximately 80 nucleotides in length. Lineage: Eukaryota; Metazoa; Chordata; Mammalia; Rodentia; Cricetidae. The record is from Rfam by way of RNAcentral.
GGGGAUGUAGCUCAGUGGUAGCGUGCUUACCCAGCAAGUACAAGGCCCUGAGUUCAAUCCUCAGUAUGCCCC